Molecule: small RNA, 183 nt
Filed under: Pseudomonas sp.
Lineage: Bacteria; Pseudomonadati; Pseudomonadota; Gammaproteobacteria; Pseudomonadales; Pseudomonadaceae
Also listed under: 1 other name
Description: Manganese sequence
Rfam family: Manganese Mn2+ riboswitch aptamer (yybP-ykoY)
About the family: This RNA was originally discovered in E. coli during a large scale screen and was named SraF. The family was later found to exist upstream of related families of protein genes in many bacteria, including the the yybP and ykoK genes in B. subtilis.
Source: RNAcentral
CGCCCUGUCCUAGGGGAGUAGUCUCCCGCGAGCGCCACGCUCGCCCGGUUUGCGUCAACAUACUUGCUCCGCAGAGCAUGGCGUAAACGACCUUGGCCUACCCGGCCUCUGGUUUGACAAGACCUAUGACGCGUACACCCUUACCCGGGGCGGGGAGGUUGUUCGUGUCAUAGCCGUGUCAAC